This is a long non-coding RNA of Neltuma alba, 123 nucleotides long. RefSeq lists it as uncharacterized. The transcript is spliced from 3 exons. The record is from RefSeq and is a predicted model, not a curated record. Lineage: Eukaryota; Viridiplantae; Streptophyta; Magnoliopsida; Fabales; Fabaceae.
GGUAAAUCUGUGGGUCAUUGGUUUACGGCAUCAGAUGGAAGAAAGGUAUAUGUCACCAAAGAUGGGCAGGAGUUGACAGGCCGAGCUGCUUAUAGGCAUUAUCGGAGGGAAAGUGGGUCAGGA